This 251-nucleotide ribosomal RNA is filed under the name uncultured bacterium. RNAcentral describes it as "partial 16S ribosomal RNA". It matches the Rfam family "Bacterial small subunit ribosomal RNA", at positions 524 to 776 of the family's 1533-position model. The record is from RNAcentral.
GACGUAGGGCACGAGCGUUGUCCGGAUUUAUUGGGCGUAAAGAGCUCGUAGGCGGCUUGUCGCGUCGUCUGUGAAAUCCCGCGGCUCAACCGCGGGUCUGCAGUCGAUACGGGCUAGCUAGAGUUGUGAGGGGAGAUGGAAUUCCUGGUGUAGCGGUGAAAUGCGCAGAUAUCAGGAGGAACACCGGUGGCGAAGGCGGAUCUCUGGGCCAUUACUGACGCUGAGGAGCGAAAGCGUGGGGAGCGAACAGG